GACGAACGCUGGCGGCGUGCUUAACACAUGCAAGUCGAGCGGAAAGGCCCUGCUUGCAGGGUACUCGAGUGGCGAACGGGUGAGUAACACGUGGGUGAUCUGCCCUGCACUUCGGGAUAAGCUUGGGAAACUGGGUCUAAUACCGGAUAGGAGCCAUCUUUAGUGUGGUGGUUGGAAAGUUUUUUCGGUGUAGGAUGAGCUCGCGGCCUAUCAGCUUGUUGGUGGGGUAAUGGCCUACCAAGGCGGCGACGGGUAGCCGGCCUGAGAGGGUGUACGGCCACAUUGGGACUGAGAUACGGCCCAGACUCCUACGGGAGGCAGCAGUGGGGAAUAUUGCACAAUGGGCGCAAGCCUGAUGCAGCGACGCCGCGUGGGGGAUGAAGGCCUUCGGGUUGUAAACUCCUUUCGCUAGGGACGAAGCUUUUUUGUGACGGUACCUAGAUAAGAAGCACCGGCUAACUACGUG
RNAcentral lists this ribosomal RNA (466 nucleotides) under uncultured bacterium. Its description in RNAcentral is "partial 16S ribosomal RNA". It matches the Rfam family "Bacterial small subunit ribosomal RNA", at positions 28 to 507 of the family's 1533-position model. The record is from RNAcentral.